CCCUUAGAUGUUCGGGGCUGCACAUGCGCUACACUGAAGGAAUCAACGUGUAUUUGCCCUUGCCCGAAAGGGUUGGGUAACCCGUUGAACCUCCUUCGUGCUAGGGAUUGGGGCUUGUAAUUAUUCCCCAUGAACGAGGAAUUCCCAGUAAGCGCGAGUCAUAAGCUCGCGUUGAUUACGUCCCUGCCCUUUGUACACACCGCCCGUCGCUCCUACCGAUUGAAUGCUCAGGUGAGCCAUUCGGACUUUCAUCAUGCUGGUUUCCAGUUUUGAUGAAGGAAAGUCUUGCGAACCUUAUCAUUUAGAGGAAGGAGAGGUCGUAACA
Molecule: ribosomal RNA, 325 nt
Filed under: uncultured eukaryote
Lineage: Eukaryota
Description: partial 18S ribosomal RNA
Rfam family: Eukaryotic small subunit ribosomal RNA
Source: RNAcentral